CUUUUACCUGUGCCUCGUAAAUGCAUUGUCCUUUCUGAGAAGGUAAAUCUGGAGAUGUAAGAGCCUUAUGGCUGGAAAGGCAGAUCUUUGCUGGAUUGAGCAGUGGGGCGUCAGACCAUCCUUACAGCCAACUCUGGCAUAGCCUUGGCUCUUGCCUUGUGCUGCUGCUGUCCGUGGGACUGGCUGUGCUUGCAGCCAUCAGUCCCCGCUGUAGGGUUGUGGUGCUGCACCCAGGUGCAGCUGCGCUGGCUCUGGCAUCCGGCUGGACAGGAUACCUCUGCAGAGAAGCCAAAGAAAGAGCUACCCUGGAGGCUGCUGUCCACCUCCUCCCGUGCCACCAUCCUGCUCUGCGGUUCCUCGCUGUGGCUGAGCACGAUGGCUGCAGCGAAGAAAGUACUCAAAGUUCAUUGGCAAAGCAGCAUGCAGCCAGCUACUCACCUGGACCAGACCGAGCAUGUGUUUAAUCAUCUUUUUAACUGAUUAAUAUACUUUAAGAGUGACUGAGAGGCAGUGAGAGCAGCCCAAUGUUAGAUUUAAAGUUCACUAGGAAAAAAAAAUCAUUCAAGGAUUUCACAAGCAAUGACACUUGGAUGGUAUUUGGGAAAUCUUUUUCUUUCAAGACUAUCUUGCGAUUAACUAUGGGAGCAGUACAUCAAAGCUGCACUGACUUCAAAGCUCAGAACCUCUUACGGCUUCCAGCUAUUACUAAAACCUACCACUUCACCCUGCCAGCAGCUCAUCUCAGCUGCCUCUGCAAGUUACACCCAUCUACUUCCUGCCUCCUGGUUUUGGGGAGGGAAAAAAAAGAAAAAAAAGAAAAAAAAAAGAACUUGUAAAUUAAAUAUAGCUGUUCACAGUGAAGCAAUGUCAAAGUCAGGGGAAAAAAGCAAAUGGAGGCAUUAAGAUGUUAAAGAUCUAGUACAAACUCAGCAGUGAUUUGCAUAUGCACAGUCUCAUUUGGCCAGCUCUAAUGAAGCUGUCUGUGUGGAGGAAGUUUCCUGACCGUGUUGCAACCCCCCAUAAAAGCCCCCAAGUGAAGUGAGCAAGCUGUGUAGGCCAUUAUUUAGAUCCAGAUGUUAGCUAUCAAACCGGGAGCCCUGUACAGGAGGCUUGACGGAUGGACAAAGUCUGCACUGUUGGUAGCUUGGCACAGGCAGAGCUGCCUUGGGACACCAGUACCAUCAUCACUUCAGCAUCGCGUAUCUCGAGGUUGGCUCUCAUCUAUGCUCUGUAGCGUCCUCUGAUUUGCAAAGGGGCAUACGUUCACACACAUCCGCACACUACACCUGAAGCAGUCUGUAGGUACUGGGCAAUUGCCACAAAAUUAUCAAUUCUCCUGCAUUAUCAGGGGAGAUUGUGGAAGUAAAGUUUGUGUAUUUGAUAUUUUUGGAGUCCGUGAAAGAACUCAUUUGUAAUAGUGUGGGACUACGUUACAUUCUCUGAACUGAUAAAAGAAGCCUAAAUUGUACUGAAAUUGUAAUUUAUUCUAGUAUUAAUAUUAUUCAACACUUAAAAUUGUUACAUUGUUAUUUUCUGAUUGGGAGUUUUAUGCCUACGGUUUUUAAAAUGGUACAUUAAUCUCUGAAUAAAAUUUGUCUUGCAAAUGACAUAUUAAUAGAAAGUUAGGAACAAGCGCGAGUCUUUGAGUGUGUUUUAUAUAACAGUUUAUACGUUCGGUGCAGAUCAAUGACAUGCUCUCUAGAGCUAAAUGCCAUUAAUCCAUUUACAGCCGCUCAUUGCAAUGAAGAGAAAUUACCGGUGAAAGAGCUGACGAUCCCUCUGCUUCCCUGCCUAGCCUCACGUUUUGGAAACACCCCCACUGUCUUUGCAAGGGUUUCGAGUCAUCCCCUUUGUCCUGCUGCUGCUGGCAAAGAGGCCUUCAGCCAUCGCCAUCAGGCCUACAGGGCACCAUAGGCCCCCAGGGCCUGUGGAGGAGCCGCCAUGUGGUGCCAGCCGUGGGCUGCGGGUCACGGGAGGUGCAGGGAAGGGAGACAGGGCUCUGGCAGCCUGGGGGGGAAGGAUUGCUGUCCCCCCCACGUUACGGAGCUGUACGAGGCAGCAGGGACUCGCUGCUAAACCUGACAGAGGCAUGGCGAGCGUGUGUUCUGUCUGAAGGGCAGGCCACUGCUGUAGAAGUGCGAAGGCAGGAGGAGGCAAUCAUAAUGCCGUACUAUUUGAAGUAGAUUGUUACGAUAGAGCCAGGUGUGAUUCCAUGAGUCGUGAUUUUGUGUAUUUCACUGUGUGAUAGAUCAUUCUUCUUCCUCAAGAAUGCCUUUCCCUCAAAUAUGCUGUAGAGUAGGAACAGCACAGUUAUUUGAAGUUCAUUGAAAAUAUAGGAGGACAUCAUGUUUCCUGUCCGUAUGUUAAACUUGGCAUAUUGAUUUUUUCUGCACAGCUUGCAGCAUGGAAAUGUGAUCUACAGCUAUGGCAAGGCAAGCUAACCACAUGUGAAUUUGUUAAGUACUGCUGGAUUAGCAGGAAUCAUCGGACUGUGCAAGCACAGAGACUUGACUUCUGUAACUCUGCAUUUAUGACUAAAUCAAUUAAAAUAACAAGUUUUGAUUUUAUUGUCUGUAAACGAGUAAGCACGAAUCAUCUGCAGAAGCUAUUGUUUCACAUGCCUGCUUGUUUUCACAGCGUAAACUCCCCAUAACUUGGCUACAGUACCUGAACAGGCAGAGCUGCCGCUGAAGUUGGGGAACAAAUAUGUAAAGAUUCAACAAAUAUAGUUGGCCACUGUCUUUUAUGUUAGUGCAUAAAAUUCAGAAGAGCAUGCUGCAUUUUUAACUUGCAGAUUUUUUUAUCUAAAUUUGCCAUUAUUUUUCUGUGUAUAUUCUUUGCCUGGUUAAUCUUUUUUUCCCUUUAUGUUCAAAGAUACUGAGAUUAUGGAAGCUACCGGCACUGCAGUCUGCAUUUAAAUGUAGUUACAGUGUAGCUGUGCAGAAAGCACUCUUCUGAUGUGAGGCUGGUUUGCUCUUCUCUCUACAUUAUUAAACCUCCUUAAACUCCUCCAUUAUACCAUUCACCUUGCUUGACUUCAAAGAGUACAGCGGCUGCGUCGCGUGGCUGAGCCGUAACUCUGCCGAGCGCAUUACCUGUGGCUUCUCAGAAAUGCUAAUGCAUUAUCUACCGUGUUUAUGAAGUUUUCUGUUUGGUGUUGGAUUUGGAAAACCACUCUCCAUCUCUAAAAUCAAAACAUUAAAACGUCCAAGACAAAGAAAGUGAUCGAGGGUAUUUAGGGAUUUGAAAUUAUUGCUUUUCACCUUCAAAAAACAGUUUCCAUCAAAAUAAAAAUGUAAACCAAACGGUUAAUUUCAGGGGAAAGCAAAGCUGGCGCUACCCCCAAAUAAUCUCCUGAGUGCAGUCUCACCGAGUCACCUACAAAAACAGUGUGCACUAAUGCCUGGCUUAUCGCUUGGAGUUUACUGGGAACUAAUCUGUUCAAAAUGUUUGGAAUAAGCUAAAACCUGGCUUGCUCAUCUAAUGAAAAAGGUCAAAGCAGAGAAGAAAGUGCCACUGGUUUGUGUUAGGUGACACUGUGCCCUGCUUGUCUAAUUUGAUUACACAGAGCCACUGAAGCCCCAGGCAAAGCUGAUUUUAGCUAUAAUCAGCUUCUUAACCUUUUGAGAACUAACGUAAACACUACCUACCAGUGGUUAAUUAUGUUGCUCUGUUACACACAACAAAGUGCAAAGGUAAAAGUGUAGAACUACAGUAACACAUGUUGUGACAAGAUUACUCACAGGGAUUACAGCCUUCUGUGUUUUAUCUGCACUUAUUGAUUUCUUUCUUAAAAAUUAAAAACGGGUUAUGAGCAGGGAGCAUCAGUUUAUCACUCUUAAGCAGUAUUGCCCUGUCAUGCUGUUGUCUCACCUUCAAUUCCUCCUGCGUGUGGAAGGAGAGACCUAGUACGGGCUGGGCUGGUGUGGAGGUGGAUUUGUUAAUUUUUGUUUAUUUCAGAUUAACGUUGUUUUAAUUGUUUGUCUGUACUAAAUCAUACAUGUUCUCUUCCUCUAUGACGAACAUCUUCCAGAAAGUUUUGGAAGCUCUUUUGGCAGAUACUUGAUGUCUGUGUGAGACAUCUGUCUCUAGGUGGGAUAAAUGGGAUGAACUUUUCUUUCUUAUUUUGCAUAUAGUUAUUAGCCAAGAACCGAAGAGCUGAGGUCCAAAAACUGACUCUCUGCAGAGCCCGUAUAUCCUAGUUUCCCAUGUUGUUUGCUUCAUACACUACCUAUAUUUUGCCAGGAAAUUUGCAUCUCCAUAUACUUCUAGACUUCUAGGAGACUUGUAAGCCAACAGACUUGCAGUGAUUUUUAAAUUUUCCUGACCUGUGCUGAUCCCUGAUGUUUAUGUGAGGAAGCAUUGAUCUGUUCACCUUCCUUAUGUGCUUGCUGCUCUUACAGACUUUCUUCGUGGAGGUAACAGGCUGUGUCUUUCUGAACUUUGCGGUCCACGGGAGUGGAGUUAAUUUGCUCUCUCUGUGUCCCACUACUCACCAACGCUCUUCUCUGAUAGUCUCCACCCGUAAUGAAUUAUGGUUGUGAGCAGGAUCAUCAGUAUGGGUGUUGCAGGGGCAGCCUGGUGCUGCAGAGCUGAACCACCAGGAUCGAUGUGCAGCUCUUGGGAGCUUCACAGCCCUUCUGCCCGCAUGCUUCCCACCAGCUUUCAGAGUGGAGUGCUGUGACAGCAGAUAGAUUAGCUGGGGUGUGGUUGUGCUGGGGAAAUAGAUGAGCCCUUGCUUCAUUCAGGUGCUUAUUUUAUUAACUAAGAAAGAUUAAUAAAGCCAUAAGGACCAGAGUUAGCAAGGCAAUAAUGCUAAACAAAACACUAUUUACAUAAGAACAACAAUAAAUGAUAACACAACACAUGCACACACAUAAAUCUCGCUGACACAUGGUCCUUGUGGUUAGGUACAAGGUCAGAGUUGGUUUCCUUUUCUUGCAGUCAAUAGCUAAAUAUGUGUUUACAGUACACAUAUUUGUCUCUGGCAAGGUUAUAGUGUGUUGGGACAAGACAAUGCAGACUUCUAGCUUUUGAGUUUUGGAGAGAUGGCAGAUUCACUUAGCUGUGUGCUGCAGUGCCAGCAUGGUGGUGAAUGGAUCCUCAGGACAAGAAAUAGAUCCUCGUGUUAGGGACUCGGUCUUCAUCUCAGGCUCCAAGAUUUUCUACAGAAAAGGCAUAUGCUUAAGAAAACUGAGUCUGAAUGUCACCCCUUUCGGUUUCUUGCAGAUUUCAGCAUUUAACUGUAGGGGUUUUCUCCUGUUCUGGUGGCCCUUUAAUAUCUACCAUCUAUCAUGCAAUAACUUCUGACUGUGCCCUGAUUUUAUUUCCAGCAGGUGAGGUAUGGAGGGUGGUUCUGCUGGCAUAAAGGUGACCUCAUCUACUGGUUGCAAAUAAUGUUUUCGUAGGUUUCAUGCAGAGUGCAUUUUCCCCGUAUAGCUGUCACGCAACUCUUUUCUGACAUACUCUAAUCAUUCCAGGCUCUUUGCUUUUAUUUAUAAUAAUAAUUAAAAAAAAAAAGUAUUGGCUGUAUAUAUCACUAUGGCAUUAUUCGCAUUUCCUGAGCUGGUAGAAAGCUUCAUCUCUAGCAUAAUGGCAUGCCAUUAUUCUGAAGCAAUGGGAUGUUUUUCGAUGUCUUUUCCUCCACAAAAAAAAAGAAGCAGUAUCAGAUUCUCUCUUCUGAUCCAGCUGUCAGAGCUGGGUGGAAAAGACUGCUGAGACAGGUCUGCAAAAUCCAUCACUCUCCACAUUUAGGACUAGCUGUCCUCGUGCCUUCCUAUUUCCUCAACUCGUUCCAGUUACAGGGAGGCUUUAUGCAAAGUUUCUGCCACGUGAGUACCUGCGCUGCUCCGCAAUUGCUGUCCAGGGACUCUUUCUGUUGGGCUAAUUGUGUAGACUAGUGCAAGGCAACGAAAAGCAAUAAAGCACAGGAGCUGGAGCAGCGUCUUUUUCCAGCAGAAAGAAACUUCAGGGCCCCUGCUCAGUAGUUAGCUUAGCUUCUGGAGCACAUGGCAGAAGAUACCAGAGUUUGCCUGCCUCUUAAUGAGUUAGGUAACUUUCUGGAUUGCUCACACAGGAAAUUAAAGACUUUGCUCCAUUGCUGGGUACUCGCAGAGGCAAGGGAGGCAGUGCUGCUGCCAGCGGCACUGCGGCACCAGCACUACCUCUGCCUUGACAUAGGAAGCAGCUGCUCUUCAGUCCCUCUUUGAGGGACAGCCUUUCUUCCUAUCAACUGCCACGAAACAUGAAAGUACAACUGCUCCUGACUGCUCCUACUGCGUGUCACACAGUACUGGGAUCACAGCGACAACAGAUUUUGAUCCAGAUCUAGCAGAAGUGGGACCCUGAAGAAGAGGAGUGUGGCUUGUACAGGGGUGAAUUUAUCAGAGGCUUCAGAGCAGAUCACAAGAGCUAGAGUCAAGCAAUAGUUCCCUUUCCCCCCAGAGAAUAAACCACUACCCUUUUCAGCAGCAGACAGAGAAUAAGUCAACAAAGACACGUUGCUGCAGAAAAGAUGAGCCUUUUCCUGAAAGGUCGUAGCUUACAGCUUGCCAACCAGGUGAGGCUUCAGCCAGGACGGGAAGCAGAGCUGAUGGAAGAGGAGUAGGAACUGGAGAGCCUCCAAAAGAAAGCCGCAAACAUGAUGAGAAGCCUAGAAAACAUGGCCUUCUGAAAAAGGUUGAACGACCUGAGAAGGCUUUGCCUAAAAAAAGAGGGUUGAAAGAAAGAACAUGGUGCAAAUCAUCAAGUGUGCGAAAGACUGCCGCGAAGAAGAGAGGAACAGUCUGUUCUCCGCACACUUGGUAAAUAGUACAAAAAGUGAUAAAACUGCAGCAGGGCAAUUUUAGGUUAGAGUUUAAGAGAAACUUUCUGAUGGUUUGGCUGGAGGAUACUGCAUACAGGCCUCUCUUACUGGAGGUGUGCAAGGGCAGGUCAAAUACACAGACGUUUGCCAGAAAUUGACAUAGGUGCAGAUGAUCUUGCCAUGGAUCAGGGCAUGGAGUGUAUGACCUAGAGACAUCUCUUUCAUGCUUGCUGGUCUAUGACUGUAUGAACAGGCAGAAAAAAAAAUAAAACCUCAAGGAAUGAAAAUUCAGAUUGCACUCUCAGGUUCAUCAUUUUUAAGCUGUUUCUGUAAUUUUGGAAGCACCCUUACUGUCUUUUUGAAGAUAUACUGAAGACUGUACUUAGCAUUCAGGUGAAGCUGCUUAAGUAAUGGCAAAUAGAAGUAUUUUUUUGGAUGUUUGCAAAAACAAUACAUGGAUGAGAGUUUUGAGCUUUGUUUUCUGGCAUGUGUGUUGGGUAAAAUUACCUGUUGGCUUUGGCAUGAUGUGGAGGGAGAAAUGACAGCUAUUGAUAACAGCUUCCUCCCCAGUUUGACAUCUCAGAGCAAAAAUAGGUCUGUUAGGAAGUGUUAACCAGGAGGAUACUACCCUCUGUUACUGGUUUUGAUGUCCAAAGCGUACACAGUCAGGGAGUAAAACAAAUAUAUGACUGCUUAGAGUGGCACUUGCAUACUGGGAAUAACAAAUAAGCCUUAGUAAAACAUUUAUGAACACUCCAUUUACAAAUUCAUUUAAUACAUACAUACAGCAAACAGAUUGAAAUCUGGAUGGCUUUCUGAAUUUACUAACCAGGAAAAAAAAAAAAAAAAGAUGCAUUUAUAGCUAAUGUUAUUUGUACUAAAUAAACAAACACUUUGUAUUGCAUAGUAAAAUGCAUAAGAGUAAACAGUGAACUCUUCCUUGUAUUCAUGCUAAUUCCAGAACAUCUUGGGGCAAGUGAAGUGCAAUGGAUUACAUUAAAAUAAAUUGUGCUGAUCGGUUUGCUUCUGAUCUUACAGCUUGCAAAUAAUUCUUUGCUGAGAACACUAGUACCUUUAGCAGCAAUUGUGUGGGCUCUGGCCAGCUUCAUUGCCAGUCUGUUCCCAGGAAAGAAAGGAGUGAAGCGUUCUUGCAUCUACUACUUUUUCUGAAGAAUCAAGGAAUGGUUUGGAAUAAUGAUCUGGCUGAAGAAAAAAAAAAAAAUACAGAUCCAAUCAAAACAGUCUCAGGAACCUUUUUUUUUCUUUUUUCCCAGAGGUCAGAUCCCCAAACUCCUGGGAGUUUGGACGGUGGGGAUGCUUUAAUAAAUGUGCAGUGAUAAAAGUGCCAGAUUGAAGGUUUCUGAAGUGCUACUGUCCAAAAUCACCAGCCAUGCUUGAAACUAGUAAUUCUUGACAGAACAAACACUCUCAGUAUGUGACUUUUAGCUGCAGGGGGCAGAGCAUAUGCUUCAGUGCCAAAAAGUGGUGGUUUUUUUUUUAAUUGUAUUUGUGUCAUAACCUCUUUUAUUACAGUUUUAAGUUCUUUUCCUAUUUCAGUGUUCAAGGUUUGCCACGAAAACCCAACUGCAAAAAAUUCUGAAAGCCCGUAGUUUGUUUAAGAAUUUCUGAAUCUCUAAUUGAUUCUUUGCAUUAUAGGCUGAUACAAUACUCGGUAAACGCAGCGACAUUUUAAUUCUCCUUUUUUUUUUUUUUUUUAAGAUUAAAUAGGAGAAGGCAUUUUGUCCCUGAAGGUUUUAUCUAUAGUUGCUUUGUUAAUUCAAAAUAUGCCUCCUCUUUAUCAGUCUAGUAUGAUUUAAUGAAUCAGUUCUGAAACUGCUGAGCACCCAGCAUUCCCAUCACUUCUCAGUACCACUGGGACAUGAGGAUCCUGAGCAUUUUUAGAAGGUGCCCAACACCUUGUGGGACUUUACCAUUAGUUCCAUGACUGAGCAAGGAGACUCACUCAGUGCAGUCACAGAGGUGUUCAGCACGAGUCUGCCUGCUUUUCGGGGCAUCCUGCGUAAUUUAGCUUGGUAGCAGAGCACGUGCUUCUGGCAAGGACAGCAACAGUUUGGGUUGCUUUUGAAUUUUGCUCUUCCCCAAGAGCUCUUUCCCUCAGACUCUCAAGACAGACCUGGAGUCGUGUGGCCCAUGCCUACUGCCUAUAAGAGCAGAUACCUUUAAUAGAGAUUUGCUGAACUUGGGAGCACAGAGAGGGUUAAAACCCAUUUGGCAUAUACAAAUGAAAGAGUUGGCGUUAAGGGAUCUGGUAGGAAGAGGAAUUGGUCUGCCAGGGAUGUAGCUAAUUUAUUACAAGGAGCAAUUGCUGUGGCUUGGUAGAGCCAUUUCUCAAAUCUGCACUUGCAAAUUCCAAAUACAUUACUUUUUCUGUGUGUUGUACCUCCUUGUCUUUUGAUUUAAUUCAAUUUAAAGAUCAUGGAUGAUGGCAUUAGGUGUUGAUAGUAGAAUAUGUUGUUUUGCAUAUAAAGAUGGCGUAGUCUUCUCAGAACAUUAGCAAGUUGUCACAGCAGCUAUGAAGCUUUCCACAAUGUACAGCAUCGCAAAUAUCAAAUGUAGACAACUAUUUUCUUCUCAUUUAUAGCUUUAUAGUGAAUUGGUGGUGGUCUGUAUUUUAUUUAGAUUUGCUGCUGUGACGUGGCCAAUUGCUGUCUUGCAUUUUUUAACACAAACUACUUGUCCAGAUAAUGGCAUGGAAAAGAAAAAAAAGCUGGAGAAUAUUUCAGCAAAGAUUGGUAAGGCUCAGAAAUAGGAAGAGAUUUAAAAGGAAAAGGAUUUUUUUUAAUUUUAUGAUUUUUAUCUUGUCAUUAUUAAUUGAAGUUUAAGGAGUCUGUGGAGGCAGAAGUGCCUUAGCCAAAGCUGGAGACAGAAAAUUGAGCUCAGAGUGCUCAGUCGGGUCAUACUGCACCUACACGAGUGAACCCACAGCAUCUGCUCACCCCAGCCUGCUGUGGGUGCCCUGAGCCUGGGUGGGCAAUGAGGGGAUGGACAGCACUGUGUGUGUGCACGCUACAAAACCAGGGUGAUCUGCGCCGUGUGACAGACUGCUGCAUGCCUAUGUAACUCACUAACAAAUCCUAUAGCUAGAGGCUGAAGAGAAAUCUUAAAAAAAUAUAUAUUCUAAAUUUGUCUCUCUGUUGUGAUGGACGAGAUGAAUAUGCAAAUAGAUGAGAAGUGUGAAUAUUUUUUAUUCUGUCCCAGGCAAUACUAGAAAUGAAGGUACUGUGUCAAGGGACUUGGAGAGCAGGUCACAAGACAGAGCUUUUUGCCUGUGUCACCAGUGGUCACACAGCGGCAAAGCCAGGGUUGUUUGUGUCUCAUAGGUGAAAUUACUUACAAAAUUUGGGAUUAAUAUGAAGGCAAUUAUGUCUUCAUAACCCUUGGCCAUUAAUGGGUUGGGAGGGAGAGCAGCAACUAACUCCCCAGCAGCCGUGGUGCCCACAGGUACUUUUCCAUAAGUUGACAUCCUUCCACUGCAAAAAACGUGCGUUUGUGCUAACAUUCUGGGUGUGCUCAUUUCUGCUAAUUCGGCCUGGUGGGCCACCCUUCCAGCAGAGGGGCUAGACGAGCAGCGGGGAGCAGCAGCACUUCCAGCCCCUGCAGCUGAGUCUGCAGGAGGCUCGUGUGCUGGAGCCCUGAAAUGUGCUCCCCAGCCUGGAGUGGUUUUUGGAGCAUGUGUAGACAUAUUGUCAGGGUACAUGGAAGUGCUUGUACUAAGACUGCCUGUUCUGCAAUGGUUUGGAGCACAAAGUAUUUCAGUUUUGAGGUUUAUAAAUUGAUUAUUGUUUGCAGUACUGAUACGAAAGAAUGCCACUCACAGUGUUACCAGUCCCUUUGACAGCCACCAGUUCCGUUUCUUUACAUUUUUGUAGUUCAUAACUUUUUCCCAGUCUUAGUUUAUCAGUCUAUGUGUAUUUUUCCAGUCAUCUAAAGCCAUCUGAGGACUCAGACUGGCACCAGCAUUAGUGAUGGUCACGGUCAGUUCUGCGCAACUUCCCCACCCACCAGUUCCUUGCCUACAAAGUGUUCUGCAGCUUGUGAAAUGGUUAGCACUUUGUCCAAAACAUUCUUGUUUAAAGGUGGUUUUAGGACGUGAGGCACUCAAGGUACAUCAGCAGACAGAAGUGCUGCCUACAGCAGGCAGCUGACAACAAGCCUGGGCCUCUUCCCUUAGCAGCCCGCAGUGGGGAGAGGACACCCUUCAGUCUGACCAGGUCAUGCAGUUUAGGUUGCCUCUCCUUGUGCCACUUGCAGCUUCAGAGCCGGAUUAUCACAGAGCUAUUUUCAUCCCAUCGGGUUACAGAGUCCAUUAUUUCUGCCAUUUCUAUGCUUGCGCCCCGUGUUUUAUUUGCUGUUGAGUGCUAAAACUCUGUCGCUUCUUGAAAAUCUGAUCUGCUUGCCCUGUUCAAACACAAGUGUUGAGUGUCUCAGAGUGAGCGAUCAAUAAUAACAAAGCCAUGAGAUACAUCAAGUACUAGUCUGCAAACUGAGCUACGCAGAAUUUGAGUAAAAUAGAUGUAAACACUGAGGUUUUGCAAGAUGUGCCAUGCAUCAGCAGGCUAGACUGCAGAAGGCAGGAUGUUCUCAGUCUGACAGACAGUAGCUCGGACUAGAACUGGUGAUAUAAAAUAGUGGUGUGUUCUGGGGCUAUUUACUUUGCAAAAUUCACUUCUUACAUGUAUCAGUGGAUAAAAAAAAAAAGAAAAAUAAUAAUAAUAAAAAAGCCCAUCCUGACUGUGCAUAGCUGGGGUCAGCCAAACUCCCCAUGCCACAGGCAAACCUUGCUCCCCUGCAGCAUCACUCCCAGCCACCCGGAGUGAUUUUGUAAGAGGGUUUUGGUCCUGGAGCCGUACCUUGAUGCCAGAUGUGUUACAUUCUGCAUGGGUGCUACACCUCUGAUGUUUAAUUGCCGUCCUGCCAUGUGGUCCGGGUGUGUUUUUUGUCUGCUGGCCACAUGAGCCAGAUGGGGCUGCAGAGCUGGUGAGUCUGCAGGAGGAGGGUUGUGAUAAAAAAACACUCUGGCAGAAGCGUUCAGGUGGUCCAUCUGUAGGCUUUUUUAUGUUUUUGUCUACAGCUGUCUGCUCAGCUCUGCCAUCUCAAGUGGCUCUUGGUUGCAACGUAAAAGGCACAGAGAAAACAAACCUUCCUGAAUCAGAAAGGUCAAGAAGAAAUCCAGUUUGACCGAAGGGAUCUUUGGCAUCUCCUCACUGUAAUCCUCUUCAUUUCUGUCUCCCUACACUUGCUUACCCAUCAGGGCCGGUGGCUCCUGAUGACAAACCUCAGCCUUCAGAGGUGCCACCAGCUGCCUCUGGGACGUGCAUGGAAGCUAGCUUGCCUGAACGUGCCCCCAGAUGUCUCUGUGCUUUGCCUCCCCAUCCCUAAAGCAGGAGUGCUGCUGCUUAAUCCUGUAAAUGUGACCCAGGCUGUGGGACACUCAGAUUUUGUGGAGAUGAAGGCAUACGGAAACACAAGACAGAAAACGCCAGAGCACAGAGAAUCUGUUUAUUUUUGCUGGGAUAUUUCUUCCGGAAGGAGGAGCCACAUUCAGAAAACGGCUUUAGCAAAAUCACAGCCAGCUGCUGUGAAAACACCAUCUGAAGUUUGUUGGAGAAUUACAGGAGAGGGAAGAGGGAGACCACACUGCUGUCACUGCUGGUGACAGGAACAUGCGAGUGCGAGGAUCUGGCCCUGGCCGUGCUGGCGUUUGGUGUAGUGGAACCGAAACAUCAGAAGUGGUUGGAAGAUGUGUAACCUGUGGCAGUCCAUAGUAUUUACAAAUGAGAAACUGAAUAAGUAUUUACCACUAUGAUCAUUUAAGGCAAACAAGUAAACCAUGUGAUACCCUUCGAAACAGCAAAAUAGAAAAAAAAAAUUAAAAUCUAUAAUUUUAAUCAAAAGUUUGUUUCAGUCAUUGAAAUUCUGUUAUUGCUGCUUACAAACAUUAAAGUCAAUCAAAACAUCAGUAGCCUGAAAGAUCAAUAUUUUUAAUAUGUUUGCAUUGCAGUGCUGCAGAUUUUUGGCUAAUGGAUCUCACCCAUAUUGAUUUCCAUGGGAAAUGUUAGUCUGAUACUGAAAUAAUUAAAAAAAAAAAAAAGCCAGGGAUUAUUGGUUUGGAAUUUUGAAGGAGAUAGAAGUAUAAAAAUUGGUUAUUGACUGAAUUGCUUGGGGUGAAUGAACCUUGGGCACUUGCAAUAAACUUGUAGCACAGAGUCAUUACUGAAUACUACCUUAGUCCCGUAAACCUAAAAUCAGUCAAUAACCUAUUAUAACAAUGCAAAUUGUGGUGAAAUAACAUAGUGGGUCCUUUUCAAAGCAGCAGGAUAUUCAUAAGCAUCUACAUACAUACAUGGAUGGAUGCAUUAAACAACCUCUGCAACAUGCACAACAGCAGCUGAUUUUCAAGUUUAUUUUAAUGCAUCAGGUUUAUGUUGGUGUGAAUGCGAACGGCUUGAAUUGAAGUAAUUGUUUCAAAUAAGAUUAAUGGCUUUGCAACUCCUAAAAUGAAUAAAAGUACAGCAAAGUGCUGUAUAUAAAUGCAUAAACAAAUGUAUCAAUACUGUCCCAGUUCUGGGCAAAUGCUGUUUUGUGGGUUUGUUUGUGGGUUUGUUUGUUUUUGUUUUUGUUUUCGUAUUUAUUCUGUUGUGGGGGGGAAAGCAAAAGCAGUGACCAGCCUGAACCAGCAGCUGGAGCGGGUCUGUGCUCACCCACUGCUGUCCCCCAUAGGUGUCCAUGCUUUUUAUUCAGCCCCUUAUUCCAUAAGCAUUGUGAUUUCAUUUACCUAGCAUGUUCAUCUUUUUUUUAGGAGAGGAUUCUCCCUUUUUUUUAAGAGAGGAUUCUCCCUGGGAAUCCUGUCCCUGUGGCACCUGGGCAUCAUGAUGGUGAAAUAAAUCAGUUCUCUGAUGCGGGAUAUCCCCUGCAUUCCCAGCCAGGGACUGGAUGCCCUUACCUGAAGUCAGGCAAGUCUUUACUGGCUAGAAUGCUAAUUUUUAUUCACAGUUAAAUGAAACACCUAAGCAAAGCGAUGCCUUUCGGUUCCUGGUUUAAAAAUGAUCUGAGACUCUCUUUUGCUCUGUGCUGGAGACUAAUAGCUUGAGUGUUUCUGCUAAAAGUAGGCACUGCAGUGUGCAAGUUGUCAAGUGAACUAUAUUUUCACCUGAGCUGUAUAAAUAUUUAACACAUGUAUACUAACGCAGCGGUGAUAACUCGGUGCCUGUGAUAACGUGGAAAAGAGAGGUCAUGUUUAUAUUUUACUAUUAGAAAAUUUAAUCUAUGGAUGUUUUCUGAUUUCUUCUCCCCGAUAUGUUACUCUGAUCAUACCUGGCAAGGAACAAAGUGGGCUGCGCUGCCGCCACUGUGCUUGGGUCAAAAUUUGGGGAAAUUCUCGACGUGAGCAGCUCAGCAGAAAGCUGCAGAGGCGGGAUCAGUACUCAGAGCCUGGGUUUAACUACAGAUGUCUGACAACAGGCAGGUUACUGCAUCCUACCAGAGCCUCGAUGGACCAGCACCAUUUGGGAAUAACUCUUAAUGAAGUCUAAAAUUUCUCAGUAAACUUGUUAAUAGGAGCCUCAUCAUUGGGAAACUACCUCUGUAGUUACUCUUCAAGUCACGUAAUUUCUGAAUAAUUAACAUCCUCCCGCUUGCUGGAGCCGUGUAUUUAGGACAGGGAGAUGCUGGCGCAGCAGGAGCCAGUCCCACAGUGCAGGUCCAGCUCCAUCCCUGCCACCAUGUGAGACCCCUCACGUCUGCAUGACCAUACGGGAGGUGGGCUGGUUUUGAGCCCUUCCCCUUUUCAUUUUUCCUGGGCUGUAAUAUGUUCCCCUUUUUAAACCUUUUUCAUUGUUUUCCAGGUUGAGAUCAGGGCAGCAUUUCAGAACAAAGCUUUCCUGUGCUGCAUCCCAGGCCUGCUAAUGCCUGCCCAUGUUCUGUCAUCUCAAAAGGCUUGGUAGAAAGAUGAGGCGUGUUUCCGAAAAAACAAGAAGUGAGGGAAGAUAACGUCUCUUGUCAAAAUCACUCUUUCUCAUGGCUUGAAACUUCUUAAACUAACUAAUAAAAACAAAGGUUUUGCCUUUCUUCCUCAUGUGAAGCAGAGAUUAAGUAUAUGCAGGGAGGGACAGUGAUAAAGGGAGAUGAGAACUCCUCCAUGCCUAGAAUUUUAAUUUUUGUCUUUUCUUUUUGGGGGGGAGGGGAAGGAAAAGGUUUAAAAAGGAAAUAUAAGUAAUAGUGGAUUUUCCCACAUGUUUUUAACACAUUUGUCUCACCUUGUACAAUUCAGAACAGAGAGAAAUGUUUGAGGCUUAGGAUAUUCCCUAAAGAAACCAAACAAAAACAUCCAAAAAAAUCAAACAAAGCUAUGUGUUGUUUUUUUUUCCAAAACCUAUGUAAAAAAGAUUAAACAUUAUAAACUGGGAGUUGCAUAACAAGAGAAAUUACAGGGGAUCUUAGGGAAAGUUUAAAUGAUGCAGGAGUAAAGGGGAACAAAACAUCAAUGGCAAUUUGAUGAUCUGAAGCAGGAAGGAAGAGGCAGAUCUGGAGCUGGUGGAGCUGUCACAGCCAGGUCAGGGCUGGGUGAGGGCACAGAGGAAGUGUGAAGGCAGGGGACUUUCAGCCCAGCCUGCACAGUUCCCUUCCCUACAAGGGCUGCAAGCACAAGAGACAGAGACCAGGUCCCUAUAAAAGCACACCAGCAUUUUUCGUUCUGUGUGCCGUACCACACUGUAUUUUGGGGCAAGCAGCCUGAAGAGUUACCCUGGAAGUGUCAUUUAUUUUUUGGAUGGGAAAUGUUCAUAUGGAGAAAGGGCCUGAGCAUCAGAGCUGGCAGCCUGCAGGAUGGGGCUGCAGACCCCUCGCAACAGUUUUCUGGUUCAAUUGUAGCUUAGCCCAGACCCUUGAUUUAUGACCGUGUCCCUUGUCUUCUCUAGACCCUGUGUUUUGUGCCCAUUGCUUUGCCUCCACGUGGCAUAGUCAGUGAGAUGGUUCAGGAGAGGUCUCUCAAGCUCAUGUGCCAGGGGAUGUUGCUACACCUGAGUGUGAGGCAUUAAGCAGUUCACUGCUUUUGCUUUUCCUUGUUCAGAGGAAGAGGCCAAAGAUAAUACAAGCUGCAAUGAUUUCAGAAACACAAAGAAAAAACCAACAGUAAUAAAACAUACAGAACUGCUAAAAUAUGGGGUUCACCACAGAGCAGCAAGACAGUUCUUUUUUUCCCUGAGUAGAAGCUUGUUCCUCAGCAUGGCUUGAAACAGAUGUCUCAAAUCUGUAAUCUGAUUGUAUAGGCUACAGGAAAAAUCCUCUACUCAGGUACACGAUGUCUGCAUGAAAACAAAUAAUAAGCAGGAGCUGGUGCGUCACAGAGUCAAAGACACUUUGCCUUGAGUUUGCAAUUACUUUAUUAUUCAUCAUGGAGAAGUUGCACAGGUUAUCCUUGGAAGGUGACACGUAUGCCUCAUCUGAUACAGAAAGAUGGAUUUUGUUAAUUUGAAACUCAGACCAGGACCCAAGGACUUCGAAGAAGUAGCCCAAAUUUCAGCCUCUGUGUGGUGACAGCAUAUUGGCAAUCAAAAAUACAGCUUUAGAGAGCUGUUCCUUCAUGUUUCGGUCAUGUAGUUGUGUUUCUGCCACAAUGCAGGAGGUACUGCUUUCUGGCGAUGUCACCAGGUAUCUUCCAAGCGCUGUUACCAUAGUUUCACAGUAUUUGUGUCUGUUUUCAAGAUUAGAGAAGAUCACUGAGCUGAUUUAGCUUUUUAGUUACAAUAACAGUAUUUCUCUUAUUAGUCUGCAGGUAAAUUAUGAUGGAGAUUGGCUUGUUCUUAAGUACAGGAUUUGGAAAACUAAAAUAUUUGCUAUGGCCCCAGUUCAGGGAAGUAUUUGAAGCAUGAUGCCAUGGGAUGCUGGGCACCAAUGCAUCUCGUUGAAUUUAAUACAGAUCAGGGAUGUUUGGCAUCCUGCAGAACUGAAUCACCCAUCUAAUACUUUGAAUGUAGUGCAUACUGAAAUCUUCUUGGGAAUUCAGGCCUGCUGAGAUGAAUCGUGAAACCUGUAGGCUUCAGUUACACGUAUACAUUUGUAUAUGCAAAGUAGUUAAUUCUGCAUGUAUUUGAUAAUUUCCUGCUGUAUGACAUACUGGUACUUUUGUAAUGAAGUCUUCCAGGCAGGUAGUUUUUGUAUAUCCAAGUAAGGCAGCUCUAAAAUAGGGAAGCUGUGUUAGUUCACUGGAUAUUGCUAUUGUUACUGCAGAAAAAUGCAGAAAAAAACAGCAGCUCCAUGACAUUUGGGCACUCUUAUGAGCCUGUCCAGCAGUUAAGUUAAAAUAGAAUUAAAUAAAUUAAAAUAAAUAAGCAAAUACCUUAAAGUAAAUAAACAAAGUGUAGAGACGUGGUAUUAAAUCAAUAGAGUAUAACUUUCUGAACUUUCUGAUAAGUUUUGGAGAGGCACCAGCCCCCUUUACAAAGGAGGUUAGAGGCAGUAUGCAGUGGUUGUACAGGAGCCUCGUUUUGCAAAAAUGCCUCCAGAGACACGGGUGUCAGCAUACCUCCCCAUUUCCACCCCCUCUACCCCCCUCUUUCUGUCAUAAUGGGGGAGAAAUUGGUUCCGAAUGUGUUUUCUUGACCCCCUACUCCAUACAUGUUAUCACCUAACCUUAAAUGAUGUUUCUACAGUCUCGCCUGUAUUUACAGUAAUUAUAUGCAUAAUGUAGCAUAUUAUUGUCUGGACUUCCUGUUUAAUCAGUACAGAGCUUCUUACAAGUGCAGCUGAAAAGGGCAAACAAAAUUAAAGCUUUAUAUACCAAAACAAGUUUGAUUUGCUAAGCUCCCAGCAUUCCAAAGUACACAGAUUUGUUCCACCAAGUUUUGCGAUGGCUUGCAGAUGGGCAAUGAUUAAUCAGAGAGCUAACUGUGAAGUAGUUUGCAAUUAAACUGGAAAGCUCUGAAGCAUGCUAAUUGAAUCAGAAAAUUAGAGACACUGAGCAGUAAUUGGCUAUUUCUCAUGCAGCAGGUGCCAGGCCACUCAUCUGUGGAACAAGGUAUUUAAGGCGCAUUAGCACUAGUAAAAAUACUUCUUGAUAUGGAACAGUUAGAUUUUCUGCUCAUUUUCACCAUGGAUGUCAAAACACACAGCUGUGAUGUCUAGUGCUCACAGUUCAUGCUGUAAGAGUUUGGGCAGGGUGGUCACAAACCUGUGUUCACGCAGUAUUUUUAAUCAGGUUGAAUUUGGGGUGCCUGGGCACCUUUCUGGUCCUGGCAGACCCACAAAUCCCUUCUCUGAGUUUGCUUAUAUGGGUUUUUGUUUGUUUUUUGAACAUAGCUGGAUGAUUUUACCAGCAGCAGCUGACGAUCAGGUGCUAGGGACUCUGUCCCCCAGCGCCCCUGUUCCUGCUCCGUGGGGAGAGGCCGUGAGCACCCCAUGCAGUACUCUGUCCCCAGACCUGCUGAAAAAACAGAAGGGUCAUUUCUGUGUGUGCUGGUUAUAGAUGUAAGUGUCAGCAGAGUGUGGGCUGCCGUGGUCCUGCGACACCGUGAGUGGGACGCAGUCACUUCUGUUUCAUUCUUCCACAGGUCUUAAAAAAAAUUACAAGUUUCUAGUUGAAUAUUAGUUGAGGGCAUCAAGAGUAUAAAUCUAAUACUGCUGUGAGCUUAGUAGAUGCAUAAAGCCAAUUCAUAUCAUGUCUCAGCGUGAGUUUAUAUCUUCUAAUUAGUACCACAAUUUUAUAGAGAACACACGCAAUGAAAGUUUGUUUGCCGUGCCAACAGGGACCGGAGCACAUACAGUAGUUGUGCUGUAGCAGAGUGAUGGUGCUGUAUGAGCACAAACGGCUUGUAGCCUGAGCAGUAGGUAACCAGAAAAGAAUGGGAUUUAAUAAGUGAAAUGGUGGAGAGUUUUUACAGAGAUAUAACCAUUUUCAAAUUAGACUGGGUGGGGCGCAUGAUUUCUUUCUUCGUAACUAAUUAGAGCUUGGUAUGCUUAUUAGUGAAUAAAAAAAAAAAAAGGUAUUAAAAUAGAAAUGCACUGCAUCAUAUUACUCUGAGUAUCGAGAAGCGGAAUAUUACAGUAUUCAAAUGCUAAUCAUAUCACUUAGCAGAUGACUGCAGAAAGUAGUGUAUUUGAACUGAGACAUAAAUUAUAAAUUGUAAACAGUGCAUAGGGGAUAUGUUAUAACUGUGUCUCAUUUAAAUUAAGGCAGAGAGUUUUCUCUGAAGCAGAUUAUGUGCCUUCAUUAAGUUUUAAAGUCCCCUCUAUAAUGUUUUAUUAAGAUGGCUUGGCACAGUGUUUCCCAGACUGGAUGUUAGCAAUGUGCAGUGGUGGAGGCGGCCGCAGCAGCGGCGGUUCGGGCGCCUCGACACGCUCCUGCAUGCCGUCCAGCCAAGGGAUCACACCCGUACAGUGGUGGCUUUUGUGUCCCGCACCCCUCCCCGAAAAUCCUGGUGCCUUUGCUUUCUUUACUUGAAAGCAGCUCCAGAACAUUUACAUGAUCAAUGUUUGUUGCUGGAGGGAUAAAGUUUGCUCUUCCAUGGACAAGUGAGAACAUAUUGAUCAUUUUAUUCUAUUUGCUAUUUCUAAAUUCAAUAUACCUCUGGAGUCGAUAAGCGAGAUCGAGAGCAUAUUCUUUUUUGUGUGUGCCUGCUUGUAGCUUGUUCUCAAGAUCCAAGAUACAUUUUUGAUUAAUCACGAAUGCUCUGGGGUCAUGGAGAGCAAAUGUGUUUGUGGAGUGUCAGCUGAUGCUGUCAGAUAAAUGUCUUAAGCUUAGCCAGGGUUCGUGCCCCAGCUUUAGGCUGUGCCAAAUGUCUCCCCUUGUAGAGGAAGAUAACAGCUACACUGGAGGCGACUGAGCUGUUUAUUCACAGAAAGGGCUGACCUUGCCACAUGGGGCUACACUCAGGUGAAAAAAAAAAAAAAAAAUGGAAAUGUUUUAAUUGAAACUUGAGAAAUCCUAACUUUCUGCAGCAUCCCCCAUGUGACCCAACCCAAGUGAUUCCCUCAUUGCCCAGCCUUGGUGCUGCUGGUCCAGGCUGUGUCCCUGUCCCUGAUGAGGCUGGUGGCACCAGGGUGCUUGUGCUGUGGCAGAAAAGCAGGCAGAAGCCCUCCAGGCAAACAGAAAGGCUCCCAGGGGCAUCCACAAGGGCAGCUUCACGUUCGGAUUCUCAGCAUCCCCAGUGAGCUCCUGGCCUGGCGAGGGGCAGCUGCCAAGGGAUGCUCAGGAGUGCCUCCUCUUGUCCGUGGCAGGCUUUUGGAGUCAGGCACUGUUCAUCAGCAGUAAUUUGUCCUCCAAAACGAGUCAGAAGAGGUAGAUAAGGAGUAGUGACACGAUUGCUGAGCUAACACCUGGAGAGCGCUUUGUACCCAGGCUGUUUUGUAGUGCUGAAGGCAAAGAGAUGGAUCAUAUGGUGGUGCAUAAAUAAGUGAAAGCUCCCAGGGCUACUUGUGGGCAUCAGUUGCAAACCUCCUCAAAUCGGGGCUUUCUCUCCCUGCCAUCUCCCCAAAAACGUGUUUGUUCUUUGCUCCAAAGAUGAUGCUCCACUUUUCCUUUCCUCUCAAGAAGUUCAUACUGUCAUGGGUAAAUCAUCGGGGCUAAUUAGACUCAAUAAUGCUGCAAAAAAAAUUCAAAAAAAGAUAUAACACAUCUGUCAUGAACUCCCACCAGAUCUCUUGGAAAUGAGACAUUUUUAAUAUUUUAUGCUGAACACAAAAUAUCUUGAGGAAAUGGUUUUAUAUGCUGUGUACUAAAACAAAACCUUCAGUGUCAAAUGAGUAAUACUGUCUAAGCAGCCCCUUGAAUGCUGUUAUUUCAGAUCUCACCACUCUUAAAAUAUGAAUUUCAUUUUAAUAAAAUGUACUCUGUAUUAAAAAAAAAAAAAAAAAAAAAGUUGUAGGAAAUAAUGAAGAAAGUCCAAUGUAUGUCUGACUGUAAAACUGGUAAUGUCUGUUCCUGUAUCAGGGAACACUCCAGGCUUCAAAUAAAAUUUCAGCCUUAGAAACCCAGAGUUGUUUUUUUUUUAAUGAGAUCUUUUCGACGAACAUCUAAAUCAAAUUAAAUGCAAAUAUUUUGCACUUUAAACUGAUUUUAACUAAACCUCUAGCUGCUUUUGUCCUGAAAAUAACUGUCUUCCUUAAAACAAUAUUUAACAUUGACGUUUGAGUCAUGUGCUCCCAGUGUAUGUCAACAGUUAAAUUUGUCUGCCAUGCCUACAAGGGGGACAGAUGAUGCAUGUGAAAACUUCAAUGUGCAAAAGUUGGGUAAAUCCCUAUUUUGUGUUUAUUCUUGAUGGCAAGUCACAGAUACUUACUUAUUACAAAUACUUACCUGAAUGACAGGAAAAUGCACAUAUUCAAAUUCUGUAAAUCCCAAUAAACUUCUAAAUCAUUCAUUUAAAUACUUAGCCUGAGAUAUGUUUCUUAAAUAUAUCAGUAAUGCUUAUUAAACAGAGAAGCACACCCUGUUUGGCACACUGCAAAUUUUCCUAUGUUAUGACCGCAUUAUUGGGGACAUACAAAAAAAACUCUUAUCUGUAUAUGUAUGUAUAUAUAUAUAUAUAUAUGUCUGCCCUGAGGCUCUGCUCAGCUGGAAAGGCAGGGUAGGAAAGGUGAAUGAAGAAAUAAAAUUAUCGACGGAAUUAAAUCAAAGAAACAACAGAAGUCUUUAUCAGCAAAUUUAUCAGUACGGCUGUGCCAAAGAUCUGCUGCAAACUGUUUAUUGACCUAGGUCCUGCCUCAAGUUAUUCUUUCCAGCAUUAUUUGGGAUAUUAAAUAUUCAAAUUAGCCCACCUGAAUUAUGAAUUACUUUCUGAUUGUUUCUUCCUGGUCCUGUCCUUUUUUCUUUCUGGUUUGCAAAUUGUCUGGCUGACUGUGAACUCCUUCAGCAGCUGCUGAACUGGACAGUAGACAGCUAGUUGUAGGAGAGACCAUGUUAAAAUUUAUGCAGUUUAGGCACUCUUCUACAAAUGAAUUUCUCAUUCAUGUAAAAAAAAAAAAAUUAUUCAACCUUAAAAUGCAGCUCAGAAUGACUUUUGCCCACUUACCUAUUUGGACGUUGUCCGAUGAGUAGUUACCUUCGCAGGGUUAAUCCAGGAGCUGAGUUUUGCCUGCAGGGUGCACAGCUUGGGUGCUUUGGGCCGGACAACAAUGAGGUCCUCCAGCCUUUCCUGAGGCUUUUCAUUAUCAGCAUGCUCUGAGUUUCACAGGCAGCAUCCACUUGCCCUAUUUUUCAACAAUGUUGUAUUAAGUGCCAUCUCAUUGCACUUGUGUCUUAAAGUUCAUGGUCUGCUUCCCUUACAAAUAGUGUUAUUUCAGUGCACUUCUGGCUUUUAGACAUAAAGAGAAGAUAAGACCAUGUUCCUUGUAGUCAGAAUGUAACUUUAAUGCAUCCUACAUGGGAAUUAAUAUUUGUUUGUAUCAGCACGUUAGUAGGGGCAAGAGAUGUUUGCUUCUCUAUAUCUAUACACUGUAAAAAAAGGUCGACCAACUAUCUAUUAAAAAAAAAAAUCACCUAAAUCUAACCAAGGGACUUUGAAAAAAAGCUAAGGCAGAGCUGUGCUUUAAAUCCCAAAUAAGUGUCAGCUAAGUCAGGCUCACAGAGGAGGUGUCUUACUCACUCAGCAGCAACAUGAGGGACCUCUCUUCCCACCUGGGACUCUGGCAGAUUGCUUUUUUGCCAAAUGGGAAAAGGCACAAGCUUCCCUUCAGCUCGUAGGCUAGUGAAAGCAAAGCAAGAACAUGCACUCACAGGAUGGAAAGAUAAAACUAUGUGGAUGUGAGCUGGCAGAGCGGGGGCUGACACCUCGCACUGGUUUGGACUGAAAGCAUGGCUUUGACCUUUUUCCAUGAGCUGGGAUGGACGGUCAGGACUUGAUCUUUCCCAGAGGUGAACACAAAGUGCCAGCCUCCUCUUUGUGCUGUGUUUGCUGGGGAGGAGUUCAGAGCUUCUCCUGGUGCCUGCAAAAGUGAUUUCUUGACAAGACUCACAGGGUGCAAGCCACCAAAAGAGGUUUCCUCUGUCAACAGUGAUAGAAUAACAUCCUUCUGCCAUGUGAUGUAGCAUUCAGGUAAAGCCCAGGCUGUUUUUUUAACUGUUUCUUCCCCUUGCCUCCUCACUAACGUGUUUUUCUAGCAAUUUUCAGAUGGCUCGGUUAAGGGAAACCAGUGGGUUUUAGGCAGAGCACCACGAGCCUCAGCUAUUUGGGAUGCCUGGUUCACCUUGCCAGGGGUACCUGGGAAUCUGACCUCCUGCCCUUAAGACAUUUGUGGUAGAGACACGUCCCUGUAUACCACUUCAGUACGUGCCCUGCCUGGCUGCUUUUUGAGCUUGAGACAGGCCAGUGUGCUUAGACAUGACUUCGCUUCAUCAGCGCCCUCCACGCUAAUUCUGCAUGACAGCCAGCCCUGCUCCCAGCCCUGCUCCCUGCCCUGCAUCAGUUUCCCUGCUGGGGGACCUUCAGGGGCAUUUUACAGACACCCAGGUGGAUCACCUGUGCUACGGCAAGAGCAGAGACGUCUGACACUAAUCCAGCUUCCAGAAAGAGAGCUGGCAGUCAUAAUAUGCAGUCUAAUAUUCAAGAGAAAAGCAGUGGUGUCACAGCCCAGCUGUAUGGUGUGAUAGUGGUUGUCUGAAGGACCAGCCGACAAAUUAUUCUGACCCUUUGUAGGCAUCUCAGCAGAGAGCUGCACAGAGGAAUUUCUAGGAAGUUAAUAAAGUGGGUCUGCAGGAAUUUGUGGAAAAGACUACCCAAAUCUGACACUUGAAGGAUUGUGUGACGGGCUGACCAGAGGAAGGAGCGAGUGUGAGGAGAUGGAUGGGCCAGGCAGCAGGUCGGACAGCCACGUAUGUCUGCCUUCAUUAAUUAAAGUGCCCAGGGAUGGUCCAGGGUGCUGGGGUGCAUCUGCCCAUGCUUUCGUGCUCCUCAGACUGCUCCUGGUGCCUGAGGAGGACAGCUCGCCAGCCCUCAGCCUGCCUGGGAGUCGGGGUUGCCUGAGGGGACUGCAUGCCGGGAACGCUUGGUGCCAGUGGGGCCUGGUGCCCAGCAAGGUUCCUGGGGCUGUUUGCCAGCACAGGCAAAGCCCGUGAGUUCUGGAUGCAGGAACAGUGACCUGAAGUUCCCUGUGAUCAAGCAAGCAGAGCCAGUGAAGGGUGAAAAAAGCAGCACGGCAUGACAAAGAUCUUCACAGGAUGAGUGCCUGCAGGCCCUGAGGUCGUUGGCAGGAAAAGAGAAGAAGGCAUCAUGUUGGCCAUGGUGAGCUUGGGCAGCAGUGCUGUUUUAACAAACAGGGCAGGGUUGGCUGUAGAGGUUUAUUACACAACAGCAGCAGCCAACGUGAGCCACGAGCAGGAUCUGGAAGCAGCGCUUGCCCUGGAAGCCCAGCAGGUGACAUCUCCGGGGGCUGUGAAAGGACUUAACAGCCAGGCUUGGAAGGAAAGACGGAUGGUGGUGAGCCCCUGGACGGGGUGAGAGGGGAACGAGAGCCAGGGAGCUGGCGGUGAGGAGGGGUCAGAAGCAAUGUGUAGGGAGGAGAAGGAGCGAGACCGGGCAGGAGAGAGCUGCAGCACGAGGGGAGAGCAGGGCACUGAGGAGGGAGCGCGUCCACCGUGACCGGGGCUGGGAUGGCAGAGGGACAGCGCCCGCUCCAGGAAAUGGGGGAGAGCAUAAGGCUUGGAGAACAAUAAACCACAUUUUAUAUUAAUUUUUACCUUUGUUUUUGGCGUCCGUUAAAAACGUACAUUUAGGGACGUAAACACAACUCUUUCAGAGCUGAAUUUCUUAUUAUGAUUAUGUAAAUGUUGCAAGUUGAUUAAGUCUUUGUAGUUAUGUUUUGGCUCAUAGCAACAUCUUUAUCAGCAGCAUAAUUCAUACUGUAGCAGUUAGUAUGACACUAGAGAGAAGUAUCAGUUUAUUUCUUAGAGCUAAUUGGCUUCACUACAUAGUUCAAAAAUCAUUGGCAUCUAGUCAAACCAUACUCACAGAAAAUGUACCAUGCUAAUAAACGCAGAUCAGAUGCUAGCAACGUUGGUAUUAAAUUUAAAUGAAGGCAUAUCCAACCUAUAUCAUUAUUUUACACCUUCAUAUCAUCAUGUAAAUACUAAAGCAAUUAGACUCAGUAGGUCUGUUUUGUCCAUCAGAUAUAUAGGUGUAGCACUCAUAGAAUUAUAUUUUUUUUCAAAGGCAGAAUCAAUUUCUGAAAUCUUAUUUUUACUCCCGUGUAUCUUGGGAAGCACGGAUGCAUACCAUAAGCAUUCUCAGCAAUAAAUAUGUUUUCAGGAAGGUUAAACAAAGAUAGGAUGGAUGUAACCCCAAUAAAAAGGUGCAAUUGUAGAGAAUAAGGCAUUUACCUAGGGUAUAAAGGAGGAAGACAUCCUAGUUUUUAUUUGAUAUUUUGGUUUCGGGAUUUUAGAAAGUAAAGUCAUCUCAUCAGCCAAACUGCUCUUGUUUCAUCUUGUUGCUUGUUUGCUUUAAAAGGCUGUAUGUUGUUGUUUGUGUUGUGCCCUUGUGGCAGCAAGCUGGGUGUGGGGCAGAGCUACGUCCAGUAGGGCAUCCACAAGGGGCAGGAGUGGGAACAAGAGAGCGGUGGAUUGGGUUUGCAGUGGCUUCACCUGCAGAAAUACUUCCAGUGCGUGCAAUGAAGCAGUGCUGGUCCCCACUUCGCCUCCUGCUCCAGGUAGGAGAGCACGGGCCGGGCUUAGGCACAGCGGAAACUCCUCUGAGCAGUGAUGUUUGGUGGAAACCGAGCACUGCACUGCCUCUACAGUAGACCUUCACGUUGUAAAAUGUUUGGCUAUUCACCAUUGAGAAUGAUGUCAUUAGAGCAUUUUGUCAGGGCUGGCCAAUGCAUGCCCCUGGCCAGUCACUCCUAAGCAUGCCGGUGUCAGUGGUGGCUGCGAGCGGCAGCACAUGCAAGCGGAGCCAGGACCUGAAGUAACCACAAGGCUUGCGCCUCAUCAAAAUGCAUCUUGAAUUCCAUACGGCUGCCUGCUAAGGUAUCUUGUACCAUCUCCUAUCGGCGGUGUAUCUCCACGCUGUGUGACAUGGCCUGCUUUGAGCAGCUUCCCUCUCGGCACUCCUCUGCUCUCCGUGGCUGCUGCCCGCGCCAGGCAUCCCGCCAAGCAUUCUGCUGCCCGCCACUGCUGACCGUGAUUCCUGGGCAGACCAUCUCCGACCUGGCCACUUCUCCCCACCACGGCAGAAGGGACGUCUCUGGUGCCUGCUCGGCAGAGAAGGCUGAUUCAUGUGUAAAUUGCUGGUUGCCCUUUAUUUGCGGGGUCCGGGGAGAGUACACACGCAGAUUAAAGAGGAGGUCAGGACUGGGUACGUGAUGGUUUCUCCUGUGGCUGUGAUGGCAGGGUUAGAGUUGUCAAAGAUGAUCAGACAGACUCCGACGCCUUAUUUACCCACAGUUUAGCACGUAAAAAUAAAUCCCGGCCAAGCGGGAGGCUUUUGCAGCAUUGCAGGCCAUCAGCACCAUCAGCCUCCAGCACCAGGAUUUCUGAACACCCUUGUCAGUGUCUCUGAGAGCAGUACCCAUGCCUACAUACCGGAAUGCUUCUCUUUAAGCACCGUGCAGUGAGCAUCCCCUGCCCUGGCAGGGCAGGCACUAUCUGAGCACAGGCAUGGUGCUGCUGAGCUCUGGCAUCAGGGACGGGGGCACCGGCUGUGUGCCAAAACCCUCGUGGAACUCAGUUUCGCAUCCCCGUAGUUCCCUAUUAAACAGCUCUCUGAGUCUUCCAGCACCCUGUGUUGUGUCUCAUUUAAUAACGUAGUUAUAAUAUAUUUGUCUACUUUACAACUGUAUUUGUAUUGGCGUGUGAAGUGUGCAGCAGCUGGGAGCUGUGUGGGGGUGGCAGAAAGUUAUUUGAUCUACAAAAUCAGUUACCUGUCACUCAGUUGCCUUUCACUGAAACAUAAUAAAGAAUCAUUAUGGGCCUAUUAGCAGCGCUGAUGUAAAUGCAUUUUACGUGCCAUUUUGAGAUCAACAGUUACCCACACUAAAGUAAAGUUGUUAAGCACAACCUUCUUUGUUCCAGGCAGCAAAUCAUAAAUCAGGCAGAAUAUUAUUAAGCUUAUGAAAUGUAAAUCCAGGACCCUCCCGAGGGUCUGAUCUGUCUGGUCAGCUUCAGCAUUGGCACUGAGGGCUGUCCUUCCCCAGAACAACCACGUGGCAACCUCGGCUCUGCUAGCAUACCACCACCUACUUCAUAUGCGCAUGGAUGUGUUAUGAAUGCUUUUUAAGAGGCUUUUGUGGGGAAGAAAAAAGCACGCCUUUUAAUAUAUUUUAAAAACAUGAAAUUAAAUGGCUCAGACUGGAUUAGGAGAGUGAGGGUAUAACUUGUUGCACACCAGUUUUAUACCUCCCGUGAGAAUUCUCUUCUUUUUCAUUGUUAUUAACGAUAUCACAUUUUUGUGUAUAAUAUUGAUGCUAUUGAAAUCACUUAACAGCUUUAUUUGCCAGAGAGAACCUGUCUAAAAAAAGAAAGUUGUUAAUGCUAAUAUUUUGAAAUUCACCUCACAUCCCUUGUUACUCUUUUAGUUAUUUAAAUUCCAUUUUGAAAAUUCCCACACUGUCUCAGAACCUGUUUCCUCUCGAUCUCACUGCUGCAGCUUGAAACACCUCUCCUCGAAGCCACCUGUAAAUGCACUUUUUGCUUCUUUUAGUAGAUUAGCCAGGCCCCGAGCGCCUGGGAUGGGAAGAAAAUAUGGAAUGCGGGGUAAAGUCAGUUCUUCAGAGGUCUGUUUUACCUAGCCCUUAAAGUGGUGGGCAGGAAUUUAUGACCCCGCAGCAAGCAGCCAGUUGGACAGCAGAGGGGUUCUCACAAGCUUCUUCCAGACCUUGUCUGGUGGUGCCAACAAUCAUCAGCCUCGAUUUAAAUGGACUAAAGGUGGGUAAAGGCUGUGUUGUUAGCUGUGAGCCUACCUGGCCAUACAGCAUCCUUCCCUCAAGCAUCUUGUUGCUGCCUUGUCAGCAUUAAAACACGUUUUCUGAAAGGGGUGCUGGUAACCCGGUCUCCAAAACACUCCAGAGAGUUAGGACUUGUUUUUAUUUUUAUUUUUUUUUCCUAGUAAUAUCAACCUGUGUGUACAGUAACAGAAGUGAAAUAUUUGGCAGUUCUAUGUGUAUACAAAUAUGCUUCAUGUAUAUAAGUACGGAGCACAGUACACAAAUAUACCAUUUACUUAAUAUAAGCAACAACAUUCUGUGGCAAUUUUCCUAAGAAUAUAUUUUAUACAUCUGUGAAGAUAUAUAUAUGAUAUAAUUAUAUGACAAAUAAAAAUAUUUGAAGGUAGUGAACAGAUUUGUUUAUAUGCAUAGUCAUUUACUUACCAGGGUAGCUGAUCUCAAAUGCAGAACUCUUAUUUACGUUGUGCCAUAAACAUACAUUUAUAUACAUACAAAACUAUACAUAACAACCGGGAGCGAAUUAUCAGUGCUAAAAAUAAAUCUUUAAUUCGGGAAGCUUUGCCUGUGGCAUACAUGAGUACUCUGUGUUAAUUUGUGGUGCAGACUGGAUGAAUACUGCAAUGCAAUUAACCAGGUAUCUGACUUUUUUGAGAGGGAUCCUGUGUUUUCUUUAUUUUCAAGACAAAGUUAAGUCACCUCUGAUAUGAAGUUACAAGAGGGCAGAUUUUCAGAUGGUUUUAGCACACAUUUGUGCAUGAAAAAUGUACAUACUUCUGCAUUCCUGGUUUGUGUUCACAGGCAUUGUGAUUUAGGAGCACAUAUAAGUAAAUAUGCUACAAAUUAUGUAUGCACUUAAACUGCAUGGCAUUUUAAAAUUUGUAUGCUAUUUGCAUGACAUUUAAAAUCUGAUCCCACUGGAGCAGGCCCUGCUACCCAAUGGGGAGAAAUGAGCAAGAGAGGUUGCAGAGCCAAAAUGGCUUUUGGUAUCCUUCUCCAUUAAGUAUGGGUCCAUUGCAAAGAGGGAAAAUAACUGUACACAUUCAUAUCUUCAGCUACAUACAUUCAUAUCUUCAGCUACAUACAUUAAUGAUUAGUAAACAAUUAUUCUGUGGUUUUAUAUCUGAAUUAUUACUUUGAAGAGCAGCAUUUUACAUGUUGCUCUCUGGACUACUUAAUGCCACAAAGAAAGUUUUGUUAUUUACUAUUAUUUUGUGAAGGCACAAAAGAAGCAACAAAACUAAUGUAUUGUCAUAAACAGCAUAACAGUAAUUCUUACAGCAGUGCAUCUCGCUGCUUUCUGGAUUACUUUGCAAAUAAUAAAUCAAAUUCCUCCUCAAGGUGACAUGUCAGUAAUUUCAAAUUUGAUUAGCUGUAUAUGAAGGAUGUUGAUACAUUCCUACAUGAGCUAAUCUUUGAUAGCUCAGCAGACUGACAACCUUAGCACUUCCAGUGCUCCUCCACGACGGUGUGGCACAAUGAAAUAACCUUAAGCUACUUAAACCUAUAAAACCACAGGGAGCCUGGUUGGGGUGCGGCUCAGCCAGCUUGGCUUUGGCCUGUUCCUCCUAAGAGGAUCUGGGGCGUGGAGUUGAAGAAUCUCAGUGGUUUGGUUUCUGAUGUAGUGAACAAAAAUGGAUGGGACCAAAAGGGUCUGGUUCCUUGCCCCACCCUUCCACACUUCCAGGUGAUGGGGGUGAGCCCUGAGUGUGGGUCCGCACACGAUUGAGCACAGACGACCUUCCCCUACCGACUUAGAGGCUGACUCGGCUGCUGCAUCACGAAAAUCCAGUGCCACAAGGGACACAGUGCUGGUGGAAAGGGGUCCAGGCACAAAACAUUAGGUUUAAGUACCGUCACCCUAGGUGGAUCAUUUUGCUCCUGAUGGAGCUUCAUGGAAGUGCCAGAUUUUCAACGGCCCGUAGUCAAAACUUGUUACAAGUCCGCAGCUCAAGCAUUAGUUUUUGCAAAAGUGACAGAGAAGAACGGGUUUAUAUUGCCACUUGUGUAAUGAUUUGUCUUUAUUUUCUUUGAAGGGACUAUAGGGGAGCUCUUUGGAUUGCAAAGCUGGCAAUUUUAUUAAAUGAAACAAUUUUCCAGUAUUUAUUUUUAAAGAGGGAAGAGCCUAAUUCUUUUAGGCUUGUUUUUUAUUCCCACUUCAGAUUUUUCACACUUCAUUCACACACUUUAUCCACAUUAAGUAAAAACACAUCUUACUUCAGCAUUUGUAUCGUGAGCCCUUUAAAGAAAACGUACUGUGCUGCCUGUUACCAGAGAAGCCUGUCAAGCAGCCUGCUGUAAUUAAUGACAUUACUUCGAAUUUAAGGAAAGAUAUUUUAAGAGGAAAGAAAAUGCAAAACCCAAGAACACCAGUAACACCCAAUGACUGUUGCUUAACAAACUAAUUUGUGCCUUGGGUAGAUUUGGCUUUCUGCAGUAUGUUAGCUGCUCGGUUUUUAGCUUUAGCAGGUUAAAUAAAUGGAACAUAGCUGUUUAUGAGAGAAAUGCCUACGCUAGUGCCCAAUUUGCAUUCAAGACUGCAUACAAAGGGAGUAGAAGAGUUCUCGUCCUGAAAAGAUGAUGAUCGUUUGCAAAGUUUUUACCAAAUACUUGAUGGCCUGUUGCAUACCAGGGCACUGUCAGAUGGGGUAUAUAUGUGUGCCUGUGGAAGGAAAAAAGAUGUCAUUUUCCUUUCUUCAUGUCUCCAGGCCCCAGUACCUUCAUGUGCAUUGAAAUGUAACAGCUACAGGUAGAUGCAUAGGAUAAAAGACUCACCUGGAAUAAAAGAUGGUGCUUUGACAUUAUGACAGCUUGGAACAGCAAAUAAUUAGGAGUUUGGGGUUAGCAGAUUUUGUACUGCACAGAGCAAACGUGGUGUCCCAAGGUAGUGAGCAAGAACUGCUCCUAAGAGUACGUGCAGCAACAUCAGCCGUUGCCACACCUGGGAGGUACGUUGUGAUAUGGCAGCAGUAAACAAAGAAAUGAACAGUAGUUGGUAAUAUAUAAAAGAUACUGGCCAUAAAGCAUAGAUAAAAGUGUGCAAAGUGUGUUGUGUUGUCUGAAUUAUAAUAUGAUACACAAACAUUGCAGUUGUCAUAAAUAUGCUACUGAACAUGAAUGCUUAUAGAGGUGAUGGCGUUCUUGGGCAGGUUAAACUAUGCCUUAAACUAUGCCUAGCUUAUUACAGAUUUUGAGUGAGUGUUAUGUGCCUGCUUUUGAAACUGAGCCUGUUAGGGCUUGGCAGGGCUUAGCAGAUUUUCUGUAUUUGAGAAUGAUCAAUUACAUUGUUGUUUGGGGGUAAUUGAUUCUGUGCCUGUGGCUAUGUCACCCUUCCUUCGAGUCUCAUUUGAAGAGUGCCAUGAUGUUAGCACAGAAAGGUACAUGCUAACAGCUGGAGCAAGAAAAACAAACUGUGUAUGGUUGGCACCCCAAAAUACAUGUCACAGCAUCACACAUCAUAGCAAGUACAAGUUUAGAUGCAUGGAUUCUUUCCGAUAGGUUUAUCAUUAAAACUGUCAGUGCUGUGUUCAUGGUGCCCUGUAUGAGUCUUCAUACUGUUUUUUUUCAUUCAUUCCUUUUUUUUUUUUAACUGUUCUGUUAUCCAAACCCCAGAUAGGUAACUGUUAGCUGAAGUUAUGGCAGCGAAUUUUGGGAUGAGUCUAGAGGUGCGUGCGAUGUGACUGCAGCGUAAUACUGCUUUCAGUGACUGGCCAUUCUCAGCUCCAACGAUGUAUGAAAUGCUCGAAGUUUUAAUGGGUUAACAUUAUCCAGAGUCCUCCACAGUGACAGACUAUUGCCCAAUCAGUUCAUGCUAGAGUGAGCAAUGACAAUGUACAAACAUUUUGUAUUUUAUACUUUAGUGCUCCUACAUAUGUUGUGUCCUGCGAGUGCAAUUUGUCCCCUGCAGCGAGCACAGCUCUUCGGUGCUUUCCGUGCGCCACUGGAUUGGCAGAGUCACAGCUCAUGCAUCCUCAGAUGAAGCCAACCUGUGAUGUCCAUCUGGAUUGCUGUACACAGCCUGUCCCCAGGUGUUGGUCAGCUCCUCUGAGCCCCUACCUUACGGGCCAGUGCCUUGGGAACUUCUGGUGGGCUGCCUCAGGAAAAACUCACCACAGAUGAGUUAUUUGGGCUUGAUUUUUAUUUGAGCUUUAUUUUGAGCAUAAAUUAUUAUUUCUGUGUUAUCCUCGUUCUUUACAGCAAUCACAACAGUGCUGUGCAACCCUAGUGGUCAUGCCCCCAUACAGACAUGGUGUGCUCUCAGGUGGAAACAACAGUUAUCUUCAGCUGGGUUAAGAUAAAAAUACUAGUAGUUCAGUAAAUGUGAGUGGCCAUUAGAGGUGACACAUAUCUGGGAAGAUACUCACCUGGAAACUUUGGGCCUAAGAAACCAGGUGAGCCAGGCCUUUCCUGGAAGGAUCAGGAACGUCCUGACUGUGCAUGGUUCAGUGGCACAGGAUCUGCUUCUGUGGUGAGACUCCAGCAAGUGCUUCAAAACCCUCCCUGGCACUUGGGAAAUCAUGCAAGUUUUACUCCCCUAGUGAGAUUAGUUCCCUGCUGUUGUUCUUUAAAAUAGACAUUGUUUUUUACUUUAAAUAUCUGUUUUUAAACCCAACACUUAAAUCCAUUCAUUAUCCAUGGAAUGGCAAUUAAAGUGCCGUAUUUCUUGAGUUUCCCAAGCUGUAUUACAUUCUCCUUUGUUUCCUCAUUGUGCUUCAUUAUAAAUGAAAUUAUUUCAAGUUCUGCUGAAAAACUCCAGUCUGUUUUGACCCAAGCAAUGAGUCAGUGGAGGAGCCUGGUGGAGGAAGGCACAAGAGAUCCCCAAGGGCAGCACAGUGUAGAUGGAAGUUGUAUCAGAGCAGCGCCAAUAAGCACGUUCCACCAGGGGCCAAGUCUCCAGUCACCAGAAGCAGUUCCCAAUCUCUGCAUGGUGUGAUCACAAACUGUUUCCCUUGCUGCUUGCUUGGCAACCUUCUCGCCAUGCAUCUCCUCCUUCCCACUGGCAGCGGUAGUCACCAUGGUCCUGUCCCUGAGCCACUCGGGUACUGACUAAGCCGAUUGUCUAACUUUUCCCUUCAAUCUCCACUUCAAAUAUUCUCUUAAUGUGCUUCUUCUGUGUGCAGUUCACUUUCUUUAGCCUCAUCAAGAAGAGAAAUUUUGUCGUGUGAGGCUCUGUUGAUGCAGGCCAGGUGUGGAGCUGGAAAUCAUAGAUCCAGGCGCCUGUACUAGUGAAGCCAGGCAAAGCAGCUGAUAUCACUAGAGUUGUUCAUUGUCGCCUUCUCCAUGAACCCAAGCUAAGGCAGAAGGAAGCACCGACCCAGCUGGUCUGUUCUGGUGGUGCUGGGAGGGGAUGGGUCCUCCAGCGAGAUGGAAAAACCUGCACCACUGCGGCCUGCUGCAUCUGCUCCCCUCCUUGUUACCCUCCUGCCACCGGUGCUGCCCCUGCAACACCGCCCUGGUCCCUGUCCCCACUCCCCAGCCUCUCUGCAGCCAGUUCCCUGCCCUGGGCUGCCCUCCUUCCAGCUGCAGGUCCACCUCCCUCCAGCAGCCUUCUUGCACAGCCAGCUCCGCUCUCAGUCUGCCCCCAGGACUAGUUCUCCCCUCUCUUUUGUGCUAUUAAGUGGCUUUUUCUUUUCCCUCCUUUCCUUGUUUCGCCUGCAUUUGGAGCGCAGGAUGGAGUGAAGCCACGCUCGGUUCCUGUGCCUGAUGCCACAGUGCCCACAGGGCCCGCCUCUCGCAAGCAGCAUCUUCAGAGCAGUCGUGGGCCCGUUUUGGGUGCCAGCUUCUGGGGACUCUUCACUGAGCAUAUGCAAAUGAGACUUUUCAAAGGACUGUGACGAGGCAGAAAGCUGGGUGGUUUUUCAUGGGAACUGCAAAAGGACAACAGGGACCAUACCUUCCAAAUUGCAGACUAUUGCUGUGAAGAAUAGAGACGCAGGAGCUGCUCAGUGAAUUUCUUGUAAGGCUUUCUUUUCUUGUCUCUUUUUUUUUUUUUUUUCCUUUUUCUUUUUUCCCCAACAGGGGCAAAACAUGUUUUUCCUCAAUCUUAUUUCCUGAAGUGACUAAAUCCUUUUAGUUGAAACAUAAAAAAAAAUAAUAAUAAUCAGCCUGAGGCAGAAACAGAGCAUGGGAAUUUUCAUCCCAAAUACUUAGCUUGGCAAAAUUUAUAAGCAACUGAAGACAAGCUCUUAUAAUGGAAACUAUGGAGAUCCCUAACUACAAAGAAUCUACUUGCUUAACACACAAAAGUCAGAUAGGAAUAUCUCCAUGACCCAUUUGGGAUACUAAACCCAAUUAAAAAGUAUCUGCUUUUCAUAUUUCAGAAAGCCACAUUAAGCAAUGGGUGUCCUAAGGAAGCAUUUGGUUUUAGCACUUCCCAGCCCGUACCAAAGCAGUUGCAUCUAUUUGAUUUGCUAAGCUUGUCUGCCACAGAUUUAUUUGAUUUUUUUUUUUUUUUCUGAACCGUUUCUGUUGUGAAACUUAAUUUAUGUACCGGCGUGCACAUCAGAUGUCCAGCUCAGCCAGUGCUGUGCAAGGGCAGCGGCAUGGUCCCCUCAAGGUGCUUCCCUAUUAAAGAAAACACAGAAAAUAUGGAAAUUACCAUAGUUGAGGUGGUUGUUACUCGGAUCAGUGACAGAAACCCUGGGCCACGGGGCAGGUGCCAUCAUGGUCCUGCCCCAGCGGGGGCAUUUUGGCACAUUGGGAUGCAGUGCAAUGGUGUGUGGGGGCUCCCUGCAUGGAGGGGAGUCACUCUUCUCCCCCAGACCCAAGCAGGACCCCUAUGCACAGAGCGAAGCCUGGGGCAGUGUUUUCUGAGCAGGGACUGGUUUUCCUGGCUUCACAAAGGAGCGAUCCGUAUGGGAGCAAGCCCUGCACAUCCCCUUCCUUUCCCAGCUCGGAGGCAACCCUGUAGGCCUUCGGUGGAAAAUCCACCCGAGGCAUCUGGAGAUGUGGAGGAUUUGCACUGCAAGGCUCGGUGAGGUUCCUGCGGGGAGGAGCAGUCACGUAGUGCAGCUACAGAGGCACGAAAUGUGAAGCAUUCAUGUCGUUUUGGUACUGGCUCUGAAAAGCGUGUCAAAACAGAUGGGUAUGUUGUUGACGGAAAGCGCGUUGCUUUUUAGUCAGUCAUAGAUUCCCUCUUUUUGCAAAAGACUGAAAAAAAUAUUUUCUUAAUUUAAUAUAGCAAUAUAUCGUGGUUAUUGCAUUUCAUUUAUCCCUAGACUAAUGGGGAACGCGCUAUAUGUAUUCCAGCCACAGCGCAAGUUUUCCUUAAGUGCUUAUAUAUGAGCUCCCCUCCAACUUCCCUCUACAGGAGAUUUAGUUUUCAUAUUAACUCCUUGCAGGAUCUUUUAUGAGCAGUGACUGUCAAACUGUGCUUGUCUGUGCAUUUGUGCAUGCUGAUAUUGUUCUCAUUUAGACAAACUUCAGCUCCCACCUCAAUCUUGUUUUUCCCCAUGUCGUUUUUUCUCUAAUAUAUCAACAGUUGUUUUAGGCUUGUUUUGAAAAAACAGCCUACAGUGUUUUAGACAAACCAAGCCAAAUUGGAGCAAUAAGUAUUAAAAGAUAUGCACAGGGCACAAACAAAAGAAUUCCCCAAAUGUAUUUUAGUGAUUUUCUUCCUGCUUCUUUAAUAUAAUAUUUGCGGGCCAACUGUGGCAAUAACUGAUAAUUUUAAUGCAAGAUGACAUAAUUCCAGUUCAGCAAUUCUUCAGAGAGAAAUUACCCUGACAACUUCUUUCCAUUCUGUCUUAAUUUUAUAUAAAAAGAAAAAAAAAAAAAAGAAAAAAAAAAGAUUCUCAAUGUAAGGAAAAGAAAACAAUUUGAAACAAGUUUUGAAACUCAUUUAAAUAUUUCAUCUCUCUUCCACUUCCAAAUAUACUUUCCUGGCAGGUUCUUGCUUUUUCAUUUCCAGUUCUUGAGGUUUACCAUCUUUCUCACUGAGAGACUAAACUCAAAUUUUCUUCAGCACCCACUGAACCCUUGGCAGAAGAUCCCUACCAUGACAUGAAGGAUCUUGCUUGCUUUUUCUGUGAGCCUGACUUCUGUCAGAAGACUCCACAUCAGAAGGUCGAUUGUUAGGUCAGGUUAGUAUUUCAAAAUCAGAAUUUGCAUUUGGUAACGCACCAGGGUCAUUAAGCUUUGCUAUUUUCUCUCUCUCUCUUUUUUUUUUCCCCCUCUGUCUGUCUGGUAGGGAAAACAAACAUUGUUCCUUCAGAAUGGAGGUGACUAUGUCAGCUAGAAGAUAGCUUUGGAGCUUGGUGGCAUUUAUAUAUAUAUAUAUAUAUUUGAAUGGCAGUAGCAAAUCAGUCCUCAUUUUGGAAUAAAUAUGGUCUCCCAAAGGGAGCUUAUUUAAGUGUUGAAGUGGCUACAAACUUUUAAGCUCUUCGAUUGGAUGAUGAAUACCAUGUUAGCAGAAAGAUGUGUUUUGGGGGCUGCUUUCAGGCCAGUUGUGCUUCUCCCAGGGUUGCAAGGCAGGACAUGACCUGCAGUUCCUCCAGGAGAAAUCCACAUCUGUCCUUCCCCAUGCUGGUCCCUGGGUCCUGAUGAGCUUACUCCAGCCACAGAAAAGCCAGAAAAAGCAGAAAAAGACAGAGCAAGAGUCUUCCAUUUUUAAAGGGUUUAUUUUUUUGUCUUUUUUUUCCUCCUUCCACCACAAACUUGACCUUUCCACGUUCAUCCCAGACUCUGUUGCUGGUGGCAGACCAACCUUCCAUGCAUGUGCCCACCUCUCAGGAAAGGGGAUUUCAGGCAGGGCAUUGGUGGAGGUCACCCCCCCUCUGUCACAGUAUGUGUUCUCAUCUCAUCUCAGGUACAGCCACCAACGUCUCCCCUCCCUCCCUGAUGUCCUAUGCUUUGCUGUGCCCUUGGUGCAGCUCCAUGGUCAUUAAUCUUGAAUGCUCCCUCUGAUGACAUCUCCGAGGUUAAGUCAUGGGAAGUGCAGUGUUACUCAGCUUAGUUAAAUCUAGUGUAAUUCGCAUCUGCAAAGCCUCUGCAAAUUAGUGCUUAGUCUUAAAUUGCUGGUUUCCACGCUACGGACACGUCAAGUAUCAAACACCAGCUCCUGAUGUGUUAUGAAUUAAGGCGUGGAUGCCUGAAGUCCAUGAGACACACGCCAGAAAAACUCAAGUUUCUGAGUGUUUCUGAGGCAAAUAUGCAAUUAAUUUAGUUUGUGACACUAAAGAGCUGAGAUGGCACCCGAACAGAGCAUUCCUUCCCCUUCGUUUGCAGAUGCUGCAGGUGACCAUAGUGGUUUUGAGCCACAGUGCUCACCCACUUCACAUCAACUUCACGUCAACGGGGCUGUGAUGGGUGCAGACCUGUAUUGAUUACUGGGACUUGCAGGAGAGAAAAAAUCUUUGCGCUUCAGAUUGGUUAUAAAUUAUAAAUAGCAUCUCCAAAGGCUGUGAGUUACAGAAAUAGCAUUCCUCGGAGACAGCCGUAUGUAAAGCUGCCGUGGGAGAGGUUAUUAACUUUAUGAUUGCAGCACAGCUGUACUUGACCCACAACAAUGAUCAUUGCCCAUGAAAUCUCGCGGUCUGGGUUCAGUCCCCUGCCUUUCUCAAGAAUGUUCAUUCGCAAUGACCAGCAAAGGUCAUGCUUACAUAAGAAGGUUAAUGCUGACUGUAUCAGUGUGAAUUCACUGGUGAAACAGCGCUGUCUUCUUCCCACCAUAGCAAUUUUUUCACAGUUUUUCUCCCAUAGAGCUUUUUUUAUUUUUUUUGUAAUUACUUGGUAAAAUUCAUAUUUUAACAGAAUGAACAGAGAACCUGUCCAUGACUCCAAAACUUGAAUUUUAAACUCUUUUUUGUUAUGCUUUUUUUUGUGUUCUGGUAGCCCAGCUCUAUUUUCCAGGCAUUUUACAAACACAGAUGUGUUUCCUUUCCAUGAAGUCACUAAAAACUGUACUAAAUUUCCCAUGAAACCAUCAUUCUCACAUAGAAGACUGACUGCUCAUUUGUUGUACCAUUCAGGGUAGGGCUGUUGCAUUGUCAUGGACGUGCCCUCAUUUUUCUGUCUCACCACUAUCCCUGAGUGGUAGGUGCAGCCUGUGCCCAUGUUUUUUAAAAACCUGGCAAAACCAUGUCUCAGUCUCUGUUUUCCAGUGAGGUGUUUUCGAGGAGAAGGUCUGAUGAGAACAGUUCGAAGGAAAAAAAAAAAAAAAAAAAAGGAAUUA
Molecule: non-coding RNA, 37862 nt
Organism: Anas platyrhynchos (mallard)
Lineage: Eukaryota; Metazoa; Chordata; Aves; Anseriformes; Anatidae
Source: RefSeq, a predicted model, not a curated record